GACGAACGCUGGCGGCGUGCUUAACACAUGCAAGUCGAACGGAAAGGCCCUGCUUUUGUGGGGUGCUCGAGUGGCGAACGGGUGAGUAACACGUGAGUAACCUGCCCUUGACUUUGGGAUAACUUCAGGAAACUGGGGCUAAUAACGGCUAGGAGCUCCUGCUGCAUGGUGGGGGUUGGAAAGUUUCGGCGGUUGGGGAUGGGCUCGCGGCUUAUCAGCUUGUUGGUGGGGUAGUGGCUUACCAAGGCUUUGACGGGUAGCCGGCCUGAGAGGGUGACCGGCCACAUUGGGACUGAGAUACGGCCCAGACUCCUACGGGAGGCAGCAGUGGGGAAUAUUGCACAAUGGGCGGAAGCCUGAUGCAGCAACGCCGCGUGCGGGAUGACGGCCUUCGGGUUGUAAACCGCUUUCGCCUGUGACGAAGCGUGAGUGACGGUAAUGGGUAAAGAAGCACCGGCUAACUACGUG
Molecule: ribosomal RNA, 468 nt
Filed under: uncultured bacterium
Lineage: Bacteria
Description: partial 16S ribosomal RNA
Rfam family: Bacterial small subunit ribosomal RNA
Source: RNAcentral